This is a long non-coding RNA of Branchiostoma belcheri (Belcher's lancelet), 317 nucleotides long. RefSeq lists it as uncharacterized. Lineage: Eukaryota; Metazoa; Chordata; Leptocardii; Amphioxiformes; Branchiostomatidae. The transcript has 3 exons. The record is from RefSeq and is a predicted model, not a curated record.
GGGGGGACGGAACGACAGGACUGGCUGAAGACAGGACCGAGUCUUGUAACCAAGGCGCCUGUCCGAUAGAUGGAGGCUGGUCCGAAUGGGUGGAUGGUGACUGCAGUGUGACCUGCGGUGAAGGCGAGAUGACCCAAACCCGAACCUGCACCAAUCCGGCACCAGCUAACGGAGGGGCGCAAUGUACGCGGGGGGACGGAACGACAGGACUGGCUGAAGACAGGACCGAGUCUUGUAACCAAGGCGCCUGUCCGAUAGAUGGAGGCUGGUCCGAAUGGGUGGAUGGUGACUGCAGUGUGACCUGCGGUGAAGGCGAG